RNAcentral lists this transfer RNA (69 nucleotides) under Aiolopus thalassinus tamulus. Its description in RNAcentral is "tRNA-Ser". It matches the Rfam family "tRNA". Rfam says of the family: Transfer RNA (tRNA) molecules are approximately 80 nucleotides in length. The record is from RNAcentral. Lineage: Eukaryota; Metazoa; Arthropoda; Insecta; Orthoptera; Acrididae.
AGUUAAUUAGCUUAAUAAAGCAUAUGUUUUGAAAACAUAAGACUAGAAGAUUAAAACUUCUAUUAACUU